Molecule: unclassified non-coding RNA, 1143 nt
Filed under: Camponotus floridanus (Florida carpenter ant)
Lineage: Eukaryota; Metazoa; Arthropoda; Insecta; Hymenoptera; Formicidae
Description: odorant receptor 43a-like, transcript variant X2
Source: RNAcentral
CUUAAUUACUAACAAUGUUUUGUAAAUUCAGAAAACUUUCCCGCAAAUACAAUUAAGAUACAUCGAUCAUUUAUAUUUCAUUUUACCAUUAGUCGAAAAAACUUAUGGAGCGAGUACGAGUCGAUUGGGAUUCCUUAAAGGAGAAAGAGGAACUUAAAAUCAUGCACAAACAUGCUAAUAGCGGGAGACGCUACACAUUCAUUACAAUGAUAAUAAUGUACACGAUGAUAUUUUUGCAUACGUUAAUAUUUUUUUCGACACACAUUUUUAACACCCUGAUACCGUUGAACAAGUCGCGCACAAAUCGCGAACAUUUAUGGCACUUACCGAACAUGAUGGAACACUUUAUUGAUCGAGAGAAGUACAUUUAUUUAUUAAUAGUUUAUCUGUUGCUGAUAGGCUUCAUAGGUGCUACCGUAUUGCUAGUUGUCGAUUCGCUUUGUAUUAUGUAUAUACAACAUAUAACCGCACUGUUUCAAAUCACCAGUUACCGAAUUGAACGCAUUGUAAGUAAAAGUCGGAUGAAAUCAUUAGGCUUUUCAAAAAAGUCUGAUACUUAUGAAAACAUCGCAAAAACCAUCGAUAGUCAUCAAAGAGCUGUCGAUUAAUAGAACAUGAAGUUUUCAAAUUUGACUACUGUUUAAGAUUUCUCAAUUCUAUGCAGUCUAUGUAUGAAAUUGUCUACAUGUUCCUAAUUCCUAUAAGCGUGGUAACGUUAAGCAUUAAUCUAUAUCAGUUUUAUGAGCACAUUAUAUCAGGUACUGAAGGGAUUGUCAUAUGGCUCGGGUACAUUGCUUGUCAUUUUAGCACCAUGUUUUUGCACAAUUAUUUCGGUCAACAAAUAAUAGAUUACAGCAAUAAUAUAUUUAAAAAAUUAUGCAGCAUUCAAUGGUACAUGACUCCAUUAUAUACGCAAAAAUGUCUUUUAUUUAUGAUGCGCAGAAAUAUGAAAAGUUCCAAAAUAAUGAUUAGCUCUGUGUUCACGGCAUCUUUAGAAGGCUUUGCUACGCUCCUCAAUGCAACGCUAUCAUAUUUUAUGCUAAUUUAUUCUAAACGCCAUUCAUAAUUACAAAAUAGAUGCGUAAUCGAUAAAUAUUUUUAUGGAAAAGAAUUUUGCGUUAAAUAGAAGUCCAUAUUUCUGAA